AGCAGCCGCGGUAAUUCCAGCUCCAAUAGCGUAUAUUAAAGUUGUUGCAGUUAAAAAGCUCGUAGUUGAAUUUCGGGGUUCUACCGUUGGUCAGGCUAUAGUCUGUACUGGCGUGUGGAAUUUCUACCUUCUGGGGAACUAUCAUGUUAUUAAUUUAGCGUGGUAGGAAACCAGAACCUUUACCUUGAAAAAUUAGAGUGUUCAAAGCAGGCUUACGUCUGAAUACAUUAGCAUGGAAUAAUAAAAUAGGACGGUGGUCCUGUUUUGUUGGUUUCUGAAUCACCGUAAUGAUUAAUAGGGAUAGUUGGGGGUAUUAGUAUUCAAUUGUCAGAGGUGAAAUUCUUGGAUUUAUUGAAGACUAACUACUGCGAAAGCAUUUGCCAAGGAUGUUUUCAUUAAUCAAGAACGAAA
This 411-nucleotide small RNA is filed under the name uncultured Gigaspora. Its description in RNAcentral is "SSU rRNA". It matches the Rfam family "Eukaryotic small subunit ribosomal RNA", at positions 569 to 988 of the family's 1831-position model. The record is from RNAcentral. Lineage: Eukaryota; Fungi; Glomeromycota; Glomeromycetes; Diversisporales; Gigasporaceae.